UUUCUGAGGGACUCUGCGUAUUAAGUUUCAAUUACUUAGAGUCUCCCAUCUAAGUCCCCAAAAGGAAAUGAACUGCUUCUAUAGUUGUCACAGAAAACCAGUUACUUUUUUUUUUUUUUUUUUUUAAUCUUUCCCAGUCUCUGUUUUGUCAGUCAAGUUUCAGGAAGUUAAACUAAGAGUUAAACCUAAGGUUCUUUAUCUUUCCCAGUCUCUGUUUUGUCAGUCAAGUUUCAGGAAGUUAAACUAAGAGUUAAACCUAAGGUUCUCUGGGGUCUCAUCUGUAAGAAACUCAUCUAUUUCUUCUACAAUCCAAACUCCAAAGACAAAGUCAAAAAUGAAAAGCAUAAGAAGCAAAUCAUAAUGCUGAAGAAAAUAGUGUUUGUCUUUUUCCCUUCAAUAUUUAAAUCUCAUGUUAUGGAGAAUGCUGUCAGCAGAGAACCCAGCAUUUCCUGCUCUGAUGGUCUCCAUGCUCUUUCCUUCUUUUCUGAAGACUGCUGCUUCAGGACCACGGAAUAGGAUGUGUUGGUUCCCAGGGCAAUGUAGCAAACGGAGGUCCCGCCCAGACAGGCAGGAUGUGCAGCAGUUUCUGCCGACCGCGGCCGUCGCAGCUGCUGUGGUGCCUUUCUGCUAAGACAGCGAGCAGUGUCUGUUUGAAGUCUGUUCUUUGGAAAGGAGACCCAAGAGAACUUGAGCUGGGCUUGUCUGGAUAUCAAAGUCCAGAUUAAAAAUUUAUUCUAGUGUUUGAAAAAUUCCUGGCCAAAACCUUCAUAUGGAUUUAAAAAAUACAAACUCCCUGCUUUCUUCACUGUCUCCGAUUGAGGACGAGAGGAUUUAUUUCUAAAAAGAAAAAAUGAAAGCGAGGCCGAAUAGUUCCAUAAAAGAGCUCAGGUCAGACGGCCUUUUAGCUAAAUCUGUAAGAAAAGUAAUAUGUUAAACCACUUUGGGCAACUGGGAAGCACUUGUAUUAGUUAUCAUUUGUGAAUCUUUGUUUUUCCCCUUUCCUAUUGCAUGUCGGAUCACCUGGCUCUUUUUGCUGGAUGUAAAGGGUGAAGAAAGAGAAAGAGUUUCUAUUCCGUAUCCCAUACUCCUACCCCAUUAGACAGAAAAGUAGAGGAGAAAGCUUUGUUUAAAAGUUGUGAUAUUGGGAGGGAAAAAAAAGAUUGCCAAGCAAGCAGAUAAUGUAAUAGUAAUUAUGAAAUUAUUGAUAAAAAGAACAUAAAAAUCAUUAGGCCAAAACAGAAAAAAAUUAAGGAAAGAGUGAACAUUUAAGCAAUAAAAUUAAACCAAGGCCAUUAACAAAAUAUACAGAAGAAGUAGAACUACCUGACAUGGGACAUUAUUAGUGAAAUGUGAUUUUGGUUGUUGUUGUUGUUGUUAUUGUUUUUGUUUGUUUGUUUGUUUGUUUGAGAUGAAGUCUCUCUCCGUCACCCAGGCUGGAGUGCAAUGGCAUGAUCUCUGCUCACUGCAACCUCUGCCUUCUGGACUCAAGCGAUUGUCUUGCCUCAGCCUCCCAAGCAGCUGGGAUUAUAGGUGCCCACCACCACACCCAGCUAAUUUUUUUUGCAUUUUUAGUAGAGAUGGGGUUUCACCAUGUUGACCAGGCUGGUUUCAAACUCCUGACCUCAAAUGAUCCACCCACCUCGGCCUCGCAAAGUGCUGGGAUUACAGGCGUGAGCCACCAUGCCCAGCUGUGAAAUGCUGAAAUAGAAGUUGAGAAUGAGAAAUUAGCUCCAAGGGCAAAACAACUAGAUGAAGGAUCAGGAUGAAUAUAUCAAGUUUAGAUUGAAAGCAAAGGGCUGAAUAGAAGAAAGUGAUAGAACCAUGUCAACAGACAGAAGCAAUGGCAACUAUGAAGGCAGACAGCCCCAGAACUACAAAGACACAAAGCAGCCUGCAAAAAUGAAUGCUAAGCCUUAAAUGAAUUCAUACAGAUCCUCUGGUAAAGGGUUUUUGCUAUUGUGGUUGUUUUGAUAAACUUCAUAAUUUGAAGUAUAACUAAGAUACCUAGCAUUAGUGUACAGUUUGAUUAAUUUUUCAGAGUGAACACACCCACGUGACCACCAUUCGGACCUGGCCAUGGAAUAAUGCCAUUACUGUAAGGCUACCAUCUUUACUCCCACAUUCCAAGAGUGACCCCUCUUUGGACAGCCAUCAGUAUAGAUUAGUUUUGUCUGUCAUUGAAGGUCCAUAGAGUCAUACAAUAUUUUUUCAUUUCUUCCUUCACUCAACAUUAUAAUUUUUAUCCAUACUGUUGCACAUAGUGGUAGUUUGUUUAUUUUCAGUGCUAUAUAGUAUUCCAUUGUAUAUAUGCCAUAAUGAACACCUUUCUCCUGUUGAUUGAUAGACAUUUGUGUUGCUUCUAGGCUCUGGCUAGUCGAAAUAGCACUGCUAUGAAUAUUCUUGUGCGUGACUUUUGAUGCC
Molecule: long non-coding RNA, 2421 nt
Filed under: Homo sapiens (human)
Lineage: Eukaryota; Metazoa; Chordata; Mammalia; Primates; Hominidae
Description: non-protein coding lnc-CCDC171-7:1
Source: RNAcentral